Molecule: ribosomal RNA, 692 nt
Filed under: uncultured bacterium
Lineage: Bacteria
Description: bacterial SSU rRNA
Rfam family: Bacterial small subunit ribosomal RNA
Source: RNAcentral
AACGCUAGCUACAGGCUUAACACAUGCAAGUCGAGGGGCAGCAUGAUAUACGCUUGCGUAUAUUGAUGGCGACCGGCGCACGGGUGAGUAACGCGUAUCCAACCUGCCCAUUACUCGUGGUCAGCCCGCUGAAAGGCGGAUUACUCCACGAUAUAUCCUUUUAUGGCAUCAGACAAGGAUGAAAGAGAUUCGGUAAUGGAUGGGGAUGCGUCCGAUUAGUUAGUUGGAGAGGUAACGGCUCCCCAAGACGACGAUCGGUAGGGGUUCUGAGAGGAAGGUCCCCCACAUUGGAACUGAGACACGGUCCAAACUCCUACGGGAGGCAGCAGUGAGGAAUAUUGGUCAAUGGGCGCAAGCCUGAACCAGCCAAGUAGCGUGCAGGAUGACGGCCCUAUGGGUUGUAAACUGCUUUUAUACGGGAAUAAAGGGCUUCACGUGUGAAGUUUUGCAUGUACUGUAUGAAUAAGGACCGGCUAAUUCCGUGCCAGCAGCCGCGGUAAUACGGAAGGUCCGGGCGUUAUCCGGAUUUAUUGGGUUUAAAGGGAGCGUAGGCCGCCUUUUAAGCGUGUUGUGAAAUGCAGUUGCCCAACAUCUGCACUGCAGCGCGAACUGGAGGGCUUGAGUUCACGGAAAGUUGGCGGAAUUCGUUGUGUAGCGGUGAAAUGCUUAGAUAUGACGAAGAACUCCGAUUG